RNAcentral lists this non-coding RNA (45 nucleotides) under Schistosoma curassoni. Lineage: Eukaryota; Metazoa; Platyhelminthes; Trematoda; Strigeidida; Schistosomatidae. The record is from RNAcentral.
ACCCAGCUGACGAGUCCCAAAUAGGACGGAGCGCGCGUUCUGGAU